Paramisgurnus dabryanus is the source of this 1317-nucleotide non-coding RNA. Lineage: Eukaryota; Metazoa; Chordata; Actinopteri; Cypriniformes; Cobitidae. The record is from RefSeq and is a predicted model, not a curated record.
GCGCAGUUUAUUUAUAAAGUGCAACAAGAACCUACACGCGGAUGACAUCAAAGUACUGCGAGAGCGACUCGAAAGAUCAUGGACAGCAUUCUGAUUUCAAAUCACUCUCGCGGUAUUUUAAUGUCAUCCGUUUCUCAGUUCCUGCAACUCAGCAUUACGUUGAACACUUUGUCAAAAAUGAUUGAGAUGGCCAAUCAAAUCAAAAAAGGCGAGUGCCACUGGCCAAUCACAUAACAGAAGACGAGCUUUCCUGUUAACGGAAGCCGAGCGGCGGCCAAUCAAAUUAACCGAUAGGCGGGGUUACCGUCGCAGUAGCAGUUACACCGCGUCAAUCAAUCAUAACGGACACAGAGAUUUCAAAGGCAGCAGGAUGAAAGAUGUGUGUCUGUGUUCAUCAAGACAUGAAGACUCUGGAGUGGGACAAGAGAAGGAUGGUGGGGUGUAUAUUCAAAUAGACACAUUAAGUCACAUUGUGAUUUCAGUGAAAGCUGAUAAAUACAGAGGGCUGGACAGUGGUUUCAUUCAUUAGGUAAAGAGGUGGGACAAUGAUGCUGACAGGACAGGAGGAGGUGACAUUCAGGUUAGUGACAGUACAUCAGGGCCACCAUUUAAUUUAAUGUUAAUUUAAUUGCUUCCAAAAUCAAUACUUGACAAAUCUUUAGAAUUAUAUCUGCAAAGCUGAAUUUCUCAUAGGUGGAUAAAGUAUGACAGCAAUUGUGAAGACCUUAGACGUGCAGUAUAUGGUUCUUCUCUCUUUCAUUUAUAUUGAUUUGACUUAAUUUUCUUGGUAACUAAUAAUGGGGAUAUUCCUAAUAUAAUAUAUUUUAAAUACAUGCUUAGAACAUAUCUCAUUUGCUUUGUAUCUAAAUGAAAAGUACCUCUUUAAGGUCUAAGCUAUGUUUCAUUUUAUUUAGACAUUCAACGCAGACAUUUUCAUCCAAAGCAACUUGAGGAAGAAAACAGAAGCAGUUCAUCCUAAAAGUGGGCUGCUGUAAUGUUUACAUCUAUGGAAAGAGGAGCUGAGAAGAAAAGAGAGGCUGGAAAGCAGUACUUCUUGUUGAGGACAAUCCUGAAUAGGAACACUUUCUCAUACACAGAUUAUUAUUAGUGUUUGAUUGUUUGUUUCAUUUUUAUGAAUUGUAUUGUUUUAAUUUUUCGUUUUAUUUGAAAUUACCUAAGUUAGAUUCAUGCUAAUACUUUAACUGGACCUUGUAUCUUUGCUGGCUGGCUGGCUGUAGAGUUGGUUUCACAUACACAUGAAGUUUCUAAUUAACUAACUUUUAAGUUCAGUUUGGUUUAAACUUGUAUUUACCCAUG